Molecule: long non-coding RNA, 5774 nt
Filed under: Sus scrofa (pig)
Lineage: Eukaryota; Metazoa; Chordata; Mammalia; Artiodactyla; Suidae
Description: lncRNA (ENSSSCG00000060316.1, ENSSSCG00180033500.1)
Source: RNAcentral
GAAAAAGAAAAGUUGACCAAUUUUAUUUUCCAGGAUGGAAGGAUUCUAUUACACUUUUAAAUCUCAUUUUGCAAAAGUUGAUAACUUGUAACUGUGGAUGUUUAAAAUCUGAAAGUGAAACCAGGAGUUCCCAGUGUGGCUCAGUGGGCUAAGAACCUGACUGAUAGCCAUGAGGAUUCAGGAUCAACCCCUGGCCUUGCCCAGUGGGUUAAGAAUCCAGUGUUGCUGCAAGAUGUGGUAUAGGUCACAGAUACAGCUCAGAUCUGGCAUUGCUGUGGCUGUGGCAUAGGCCUGCAGCUAUGGCUUCGAUUCAACCCCUAUCCUGGGAAUUUCCAUAUGCCUAACGUACAACCAUAAAAAGAACCCCCCCACCUCAAAAAAAAGCCCAGGAGUUCCCUGGUGGCUCAGCAGUUUAAGGAUCUGGCAUUGUCACUGCUGUGGCGUGGGUUUGAUCCCUGGCCCAGGAACUUCUGUAUGCCAUAGGCAUAGCCAAACAAAAGGAAUUGACUGGGAGUCUUGUAGGGAAAACAUUCUCUGUUUUGAUCUGGGCAAAAAUUAACUGAGCUGAGUGUGUACUUGAGAUUAGUACAUUUCACUGUGUAUUAGUUAUACUUCAAUUUUUUAAAAAUGGAGAAUGUAACAUCCAAUCUAAAUGCAAUACCCUAUUUUGGACUACUUGGGGGAGGGGACCAAGUCCCUAUGGCAGUAAAAUCUCUUGAGAUCAUUAUGUUCUGUGUGAAUUCAAUCCAGACAAAACUGACUUGAUCCAAGUUCAUAUGGAAAUGAUUUGAAGGUUCUAGUUGCUCACAAACUCAAGAAUGUCAACCAUGAGAUUCAGCCAGUAUUAAGAAGACACAACACAAAGUUUUACUGGUAAAGGAAGGCAUAGUGUCAACAAGAGAAUAAUAGACACCUGGUUUAGUGACCAUUACCCCACCAGGGCAGCUAAUUUUUGAAUAAAUUAAUGAAACUGACUUAUUGAUCUACAUGGCAAAGUGUAAGGAGAGAGGCAAUCCAUCUUGAACUUUAGAAUAAUACUGGCCUGGAUUUGAAUUCCCAUGCUACCAUGUAAAUGUUCUACAACCAUAGAAGUGUAACAUCCCUUCUCUGAGCUCAGUCUCCUCAUCUGUAAAAUGGGAAUACGAAUAGUAUCGGCUUUGGAAGCUUGUUGCAGGAACUAAAUGACAUGCUGUAUAUAAUACACUUGGUUGUAGAGCCUGACAUAAUAGCCCUCCUCCCACCUCAACAUUAGCUAUUAUUAGUGGUGUUAUUAACUGUGGGUUCCAGGCAUCCUCCUUUUAUGUCAUCUCCAUGGGAUUUCUGAGGAUGUUUGUUUGUUUGUUUUUAGGAGCUGGGGAAGUUGUGUGACCAUUUAUUUGCCAAGAGAACAAAGUUGCCUUCCCCACCCCCCACCUCUCACCACUGACCUAGGGGUGCCCCAGAGCCCACAUGGUCUUAUUUUGCUGCUUGAGUUGUUGCAAUCAAUGCCCAAGGCAGCAAGCAAGGCAGGGAAGCGGGCUGUGCAGGAGCAAAAAGAUGAAGAAAUCGAGAAGCCAGCACAGCUGCGACAGGAGCUCAUUGACUCCUUGUCCCCAAGGGCCAGUUCAGCCGGCUGGGAGGCCUGUCAUUAACUCUCUUUAUUGUCUACAUUUUUUGCCUCACUGACUCAUCUGAGAAGGCAAAUGGGACUGGCUUCAAGUCAUUCCUUGUGUGGACAUGGCUUCAUUGGCUUCUGGAACUGGGAAGAGCUGGAAUCACUGAAAACACUGCCUGCCCAGGAGGCAUUCACACGUGUGAAAUGGGAAACUGGGUGUGAACAUAGCUUGGAGUUUUGUCUCUGGAACUCAUCCUAAAGGACCGUGGUAUUUUCCACCCAAUCGUGCCUUCUUCCAAGCCCAGAGUAUCCUGCUGCUGCCAUUUGGAGGGUCAGCCUGAUCCUUUCUGGGCAGAUUCAUAAGCUCGUGCCUUGUAUUAAAAAAAAAAAAAAUACGUUCAGGGGAGUUCCUGUCAUGACUCAGUGGAAACGAAUCUGACUAGCAUCCAUGGGGACACACACAGGUUUGAUUCCUGGCCUUGCUUAGUGGGUUAAGGAUCUGGUGUUGCCACAAGCUGUGGUGUAGGUCACUGACAUGGCUUGGAUCUGGCAUUGCUGUGGCUAUGGCAUAGGCCAGUGGCUACAGCGCCAAUUUGACUCCUAGCCUGGGAACCUCCAUGUGCUGUGGGUGUGGCCCUAAAAAGACCAAAAAAAAAAUAUAUUGAUGUACUUCAUAACUGCCAUGACACCUUAUACUCUCUGAUGGAUUGGGGGGUGGAUUAUAUGAGUCGUAGUAGAUAAAGAAUUUGGCACAGAGCAUGACACAGUAAACUAACUUUAUUUUUGUUGUUGUCACUUCCUUCAAGUUCCUUCUUUAGCCAGUAUUGAUAUGGAAUAUCUAAUUGCCCCAAGUCCUUCCUGUAUAAGAUAGGAAAGACUUUUAGUCUCACUCAUUGUGCCUUGGCUAAAUAGUUAGACUUUGCAACCAUGAGCAAGUUGAAAAGUCCAUUUCCCAAAACAACACACUGUUUUUUGGCCUUCAAAAGAAAUCUCCCCCCAAAAUAUAAUUGUAAUGUAUACAUGUAAGGAUAACCUGACCCCCUUGCUGUACAGUGGGAUAAUAAAAAUAAAAAAAAAACAAAAACAACAACAACAACAACAAAAAAAGAAAUCUCCCCCUUCCAGUCCCUCCCCAUUCUCUCCCCUUCCCUUAUUUUCCUUUGCCUCUUCUCUCCUCCCUCCAUUCCUUCCUUCCUUCCCUUCCCUCCACCUCUUACUGGAAAGCCUCACAAGGCGCUGCCCUUGGUGCUGACUCAUUUUUCUCCCUUGUUCAGCUGGGAAAGGAAACUGUAUGCAAAUGAAAAGAUGUGUAAAGCCGCGCAGCUAGGGAGCCUUGAAGCUGGGGACAUUCCCCGAGCUAAGUUCUGUGCCUUGGGCAUUGCCAAAACUGUCACUGUGCCCCCAGAAAGAUGCCCGGAGAUGCCAACUUGGCCAGGAGAUGCCAGUCUGAGGGUUGCCGCCUCCCCACAGCCAUUGACUUCAGAGCUCAGGGCACGGACAGCUAGCACCUUAUCUGGUUACCCCAGGGACUGCUACUGGUACAGUGAUGGCUCCACUGGGAUGGUGAACGUGGAACCCAAGCAGUAUACACAGGCUAGAGAUAAGGCCAAGAACAGAUUCCCUUUGGCGCUCAGGUGCUGUUCAUCAGAAAUCGACAGCCCCACAGCCCUGGCUGGUGACAGGCACAGGAUGAUAACAAUACCAUGUGAUCAGUAGCCUUGGAGGAGAGGCUGUCACUGCCUUGCAGAGAUAAGGGAACAAUGAGCAACCUCUCCACCUAGGGAGGGGGCUGCACAGAGUCUACAGGGCAAAGCAGCAGGAGCUGAAUCUCCUCUCUGAUCCCUACACCUGAUAGGGUCCACUCCUCCCAGCAGGGCCUUGGCAUUGCCUCCUAUCACCCAGGGACCCCUGGCCCCCAUUAUGUACCCACUUUUCUGACCCCUGUCUUCUGAGGUUAACCCUGUUAUAACUAGAGCACAAGUGUUAAAGAUGAUAACAGACAAGGGGUUUCCUUUCCAUCUUCCUGCCCCACAGAGGUUGCUGAGGGCACGGGCGCGUGUGUAUGUGUGUGUGUGUGUGUUUGUGUGUGUGUGUAUGUGUGUGUGUGUGUGUGUAGGGCCCAGGUUGGGUGGGGGCAGUGGUGGGGGAACGACAGAGCUUCCUCCAGAUGGUUUAUCCAGACCAUGGAUUCCACCUCCAUGAUCAGCGUCAGAGGAAAACCUGAAGCUAACUUAGGACUGGAGCAAUCAGGAGUGUGGGCAGGGAGGGGCUAGAAGCAGCCUUUUCUGGCAUCUUCCCAUCCCACCCCCUAUGGAGCAAACCUACUGACCCCACUGCCACACACCCCUUUCCCUACCAUGCUCACAACAGCCAUGAAGCAGGGAGGAAAGAUGACUGACCUCCAGUCCCUUCCCUUUUCCAGCUGGGAUGCGUGAUCUUGGGGGUCAUAGCUAAGUCACCUCACUGUGGCAUCUGUUUUAAAUGGGUGCUGUAUUCAAUCAGUGCUUCUAGAUAUUUUAGUGUCCCAACAACUUUAGAAAUUUCUUUUUCUGUCUUUUGAAGGCCCCACCCAUGGCAUAUGGAGGGUCCCAGGCUAGUGAUCGAAUCAGAGCUGCAGCUGCUAGCCUACAGCACAGUCACAGCCACAUCAGAUCCAAGCCAUGUUUUCAACCUACACCACAGCUCACAGCAACACUGGAUCCUUAACCCACUGAGCGGGUUCAUGGAUGCUAGUCAGAUUUGUUUCCACUGAGCCACGACAGGACAUCCACAACUUUAGAAAUGUUUUGACAAUUUCAAGAAGUUCAUGGACUCCCUGAAGCCCACUUAGGAGCAUGCAGAUUAGAUGAACUCCAUGGACAUUUCAAUUUUUGGCCUUAGAAUUGCUGAUCUUAUGUCGACCCAUACACCAACCUCAUCCCUUAUUAGGAUGCCGAGGGUAAGGAGCAGAGUUCAAGGGUUUACUGGAAGAACAGAGAUGGGAAUUAUGGUGGAACAGGUGUUUUUGAUUCCCUCCAGUGGGCAUAAUAGCAUAAAAGAAUCUGUCUUCUUUGGUCACUUCCCAAGAGUGCUGAACUGGAGAAUGUGGGUGUGUUAUCUAUUCUGGGGUUAAAAAAAAAAUUACUCCAAACUUAGCAGCUUCAAACAACAGUAAAUUUUAUCAUCUCUCAUAGUUUCUGUGAGUUAAGAAUUCAGAGUUGGCUUGGCUGGGUGGCUCUGGUUUGAGUCUCUUAAGAGAUAAUUGUCAAGAUGUCAGCAGUCCUCAAAGGGCUUGAUGGGGACUGAGGAUCCACUUCCAAGGAGACUCACUUACCUAGACAGCAAGUGAUUCUGGUCGUUGGUAAAAGGCUUUGAUUCCACCCCACUUGGGCCUCUCCCUGGGGCUGCCCAAGUGUCCUUACAACAUGGCGACCAGCUUCCCCCAGAACGAAUGAUCUGAGAGAGAGUGAGGUGGAAACUGCAACGUCCUUUCUGACCUAGUGUCAGGAGUCACAUAUUCCCAUUCCCACAACAUCCCAUUGAUUAUACAGGUCAGCCUUACUGUGAAAGAGACGAGCACCAGGGCGUGAAUUCCAGGAGGUGAGAAUCACUGGGGCCAUCUUGGAAGAUGGCUUCCACAGUGAGAGGUGUUCCCAAGGGCGAAACCAACCUAACUGGAAGUUGGGAGUCUGUCCGGCAUACCGGCCUGCUUUUAGGUGACACCUGUUUGUCUUUAAUUGUUUGUUUCCCUUUGCAUUCCAGCUCCCCCCACCCCGAGGCUGACAAGCAGAGCAUAUUUCUCCAUUGUUACAAAAGCAGGUGUGGGAGUUCCUGUCAUGGCUCAGUGGAAACGAAUCUGACCAGCAGCCAUGAGGAUGCAGGUUCGAUCCCUGGCCUCGCUCAGUGGGUUAAGGAUUCGGCAUUGCCAUGAGCUGCGGUGUAGGUCGCAGGCGAGGCUCGGAUCUGGUGUUGCUAUGGCUGUGGUGUAGGCUGGCAGCUGCAGCUCUGAUUCAACCCCUGGCCUGGGAACCUCCAUAUGCUGUGGGUGCAGCCCUAAAAAAAAGACCAAAAAAAAAAAAAGGCAGAUGUGUAAGUGAUCACCAUGUUUCAGGUAAUAUAACAGCCAACCCUUAUGCAUCAGUUUUUUAAUGUACCGGGCUCAUCCUAAGCACUUUACAUGUAUUUUUCGGUCCUUUUUUUU